This is a long non-coding RNA of Bubalus bubalis (water buffalo), 1314 nucleotides long. RefSeq lists it as uncharacterized. The record is from RefSeq and is a predicted model, not a curated record. The transcript is spliced from 3 exons. Lineage: Eukaryota; Metazoa; Chordata; Mammalia; Artiodactyla; Bovidae.
GGAGUUCCUCCCAGUCCCAGAAUGCAGCUAAUCUCAGUUACCUCUUCCUCCCACACCACCAGCAGCUGGAGGAAUCCCAGCUUAUCUUGUUCUCACAGCUUAAAGACCAAGCUAACAUUUCUUCAAACAAAGAUUUCUAAUUUAAACUUUUUUUUUUGAAAACUACUACUGCGAAGCAUCAUUUCAGCUGCAUUUUGGUUCCCAGCUUUUUUGUAUUCUUUGAUUAAAAGGUUGAAAACACUGAUGAUUUGAAUGAAUUCAACUGUGCUGGCCCCGAAGCAGGGAUGCCUACCACUCAGAACCCCACACCAUAUAGGGCUUGCUCUCCAAAGACAUAUCCAGACUUCAGACUCGGAGAUUCUGACCCAGUAAGAGAGAUGGGACCCAGAAAUCUCUCCAUAUUCAAGCUUUUCAGAUGACUCUAGUGAAGAGAAGUCAGAGCCACUGUUCCAGCAAAGACAACAUCAAGCUUCAUCCUUGCUCCCCAAGCCAGUGACUCCACCUACUGGAGGCCGGCUUUUAUAGGCUACUCAGGUAAAUGACGUUAAAGGAAAUAAAUCUUACUCCUUUGGAAGACUGAAAAAAAAAAGAGACGAAAUGUCUUAUAAUCUGAGACACAUUUCUUCACGCUGAUAUCAAUGAAGCCCUGCAAACAUCUAAACCCUGAAUAAAUGCAUCAGUUAAAAUCUAUUCCCCAUGCAUAAAAGAAGUGAUAACACCUUCUAAUUGGCUAGUUUGCUAGGAAAGAGGAUUUGAGUUGUGAGGUGCCCUGCCAUGAGUUAGGAAUCAUGUGAACUUAAUUUAAAUUGAUUAAAAGCACUUUGCUUAGAUUUCAUUGGCUAGUUCUAAUCUGAUUGGAUUGGAACUGGGAAUUUUGUAAAGGUGGCAGUGUCUGAGUUCAAAGUAUUGCUUAAAAACAAAACAAGCAAAUGCUAUCGUGGAUCAAUGUAAAUUCUGCUGAGCUAGCAGUAACUUCUGAAAACACCUUUUGGGAGGAGAAAUUUUUGACACUUUUUAGAGCAAAGUGAAACUUCGGAUUGGAAAGACACCACUAAAGGGAUUUUUGUGUUCUUAGAAGCUUGAGGUGUCUAAACAAACAUUUCUCUUCCAGUUAGUGAGAUGCAGAAGGAAAGACUGAUUGUAGCAACAAAUACACAAUUUGAUUCCCUCAACUGAAACAGCCAUUGAAUUCAGGAAGAGAAGAAAAGUGUAAGGAUUUUUUAAAAGUUUCAUGCUAGAUAGAAGACAUUUGGAACUUGUGCUAGUCAUGGGAAAGGUCUGAUAGAAUUUAGAGUAAAUUAUAAAGAUGCAUAC